RNAcentral lists this ribosomal RNA (253 nucleotides) under uncultured bacterium. RNAcentral's name for it is "partial 16S ribosomal RNA". It matches the Rfam family "Bacterial small subunit ribosomal RNA", at positions 524 to 776 of the family's 1533-position model. The record is from RNAcentral.
UACAGAGGGGGCAAGCGUUGUUCGGAAUUACUGGGCGUAAAGGGCGCGUAGGCGGCCUUCUAAGUCGAACGUGAAAUCCCUGGGCUUAACCCAGGAACUGCGUCCGAUACUGGAAGGCUUGAAUCCGGGAGAGGGAUGCGGAAUUCCAGGUGUAGCGGUGAAAUGCGUAGAUAUCUGGAGGAACACCGGUGGCGAAGGCGGCAUCCUGGACCGGUAUUGACGCUGAGGCGCGAAAACCAGGGGAGCAAACGGG